Molecule: long non-coding RNA, 1545 nt
Organism: Haplochromis burtoni (Burton's mouthbrooder)
Lineage: Eukaryota; Metazoa; Chordata; Actinopteri; Cichliformes; Cichlidae
Exons: 2
Source: RefSeq, a predicted model, not a curated record
GUGAGAACAGUGUAGUGGACUUCACCGCCACUGACCCACAUUUAUUAGGGUGUGACGCGAACUUGUGGACAGAGUACCGAGCUGCUGCUUUGCCAGGUGGAUUUCUGGCUGCGGGCAAAGGACCCGACACAUCAGAGUGUUUUAAUUUGUUUUAUACUGGUGUAAUCUGACAGACUGUGACUGCUGCGGCUGUCGAUUUUGUUUGUUUCUUGUUUUAUUUUUCUGUAUCAGUAGGCACCACAGAGAUUGAUUCUUUUAGUGUGUGUGUGUGUGUGUGUGUGUGUGUGUGUGUGUGUGUGUGUGUGUGUACCUCAACCAAGUGGAUGAAUGAAAGAGUCUGAGAGCAGUGGGAAGGAACAACCUCCUCUAAUGUUCCCUCAGACAGCCAGGUUGAGGGAACCUGUUGCCCAAAGAGCUCUUCAGAUUGCCCAGUGUGUCGUGGAGGGGGUGGGACUCAUUGUCCAUGAUUGCCAGGAUUCUGUCACUGAUCACCUCCUCCAGGGUAGUGAGCUUCAUGCCAACAACAGACUGCCUUCUUGAUGAGUUUGUUCAGUCUUUUUGCGUCCUUUGCUUUGAUGCCUGCACCCCAGCAGGCCACAGCAAAGACGAUGGUGCUCACAACAACAGACAGAUAUAACAUACAGAGCAGCCUGCUGCAUACAUUGAAGGAUCUGAGCCUUCAUAGAAACUAAAGCCGACUCAAACACUUUUUGUAGGCAGCAUCCGUUUUGGCAGACCACUCCAUCUUGUGAUCCAGUUGAGCUCCCAGAUAUUUGUAUGAUGCGAUUAUUUCGACAUCAGUCCUACCAAUGCAGACAGGGGAGGGUUGGGAUCUGUUUCUGCUGAAGUCCACCACCAGCUCCUUUGUUUAGGCCAAAUUCAGCUGCGGGCGAUUCACCUCACAAAGCGAUCAGUCCUCUGUACUCUUCCCAUCCCAUCCUCACACUUCCAAUAAUGGCCGUGUCAUCAGAGAAUUUCUGGAGGAGACAAGUUUCUGUGAUGUGCUUGAACUGUAUAGAUGGUGAAGAGGAAAGGGGACAGCACAGUUCCCUGGGUGUUGCUGUUCCGACAGAUUGUAUUUGGUCUUAGGUGGUGGUGGUGGGGUAUAUUUCAUAAAGCACAAGCUUAAACAGGCCCUUUUUCUGCGCCACUGAGAAGUCAACUGCCUUCCACUGGUCACGUGACACCUUCAGUAACAGACAUCAGCACGAUUUAACCUGGUGCUGAGUGGCUUUUUGAGUUUCAUCAGUUCAAAAAACACAUGACUGAUUAUUCUGACUACUUUAUAUUUAUCGAUUCUGUGACACUUAAGCUAAUGUCUUGUUAAAGUUGGCAGAGAUUAUUUUGAAGCAGGGGUGAUGGGCGUCUCCUUUAAUGAGCACGCGAUCACUGAACUAUAAAAUGCAAACAGCCCAAACACCCAUUAAAGAAACAGGUUAGCUUCUAAAGUGCUCUAAAGUUGUCUAAUGUAAGUUUCAGGAAAUAACAUAUCUGUAAUCCACAGAUUUAUCUGAACUGUAUCAGGUGUGUGGCCAACAUGACACA